This 31-nucleotide non-coding RNA is filed under the name unclassified sequences. RNAcentral's name for it is "L31-Firmicutes ribosomal protein leader". It matches the Rfam family "L31-Firmicutes ribosomal protein leader". The record is from RNAcentral.
CUAUGGUUUUAACAAACCAUGGCGGAAGGAG